UAGAGAAUAGUGAAAAUGGAGUCACGUAGAGUUUUGAUCUCUAAGGUGUAGGUUCAAUUCCUACUUUUCUAA
Molecule: transfer RNA, 72 nt
Filed under: Leucostethus fugax (Pastaza rocket frog)
Lineage: Eukaryota; Metazoa; Chordata; Amphibia; Anura; Dendrobatidae
Description: Colostethus fugax (Pastaza rocket frog) tRNA-Gln
Rfam family: tRNA
About the family: Transfer RNA (tRNA) molecules are approximately 80 nucleotides in length.
Source: RNAcentral